GUGACUGAACCCGAAGUGGUGGAGGGGCUGGUUUGUGACACCAGUGUUAGCGAGUACCCUUCGGGAAGCAAGCUACGACUCUCGUCAGUCACCCCA
Molecule: transfer RNA, 96 nt
Filed under: Trichocoleus sp. FACHB-591
Lineage: Bacteria; Bacillati; Cyanobacteriota; Cyanophyceae; Leptolyngbyales; Trichocoleusaceae
Description: tRNA-His
Source: RNAcentral